AUCUUUUUGUGGUUCGUGAUGAUUGGGUGUUCAUGUACGUGUGUGGGAUGUGCCACCCUUGAAACUUGUUAUGACGUCAGCACGUCACCCAUCUGACC
RNAcentral lists this small nucleolar RNA (98 nucleotides) under Macaca mulatta (Rhesus monkey). RNAcentral's name for it is "Small nucleolar RNA U13 (ENSMMUG00000057998.1)". It matches the Rfam family "Small nucleolar RNA U13". The record is from Rfam by way of RNAcentral. Lineage: Eukaryota; Metazoa; Chordata; Mammalia; Primates; Cercopithecidae.